AUACUUACCUGACGCGAGAGGCACCUUGAUCAACUAGGAGGUCCUCUCAGGAUGAGGCCCUUUCAUUGCACUUCGACUGGGUUGACUCCUGCGAUUACCCCU
Paramuricea clavata is the source of this 102-nucleotide non-coding RNA. The record is from the annotation of a GenBank genome assembly. NCBI's taxonomy places the organism in Eukaryota, Metazoa, Cnidaria, Anthozoa, Malacalcyonacea, Plexauridae.